RNAcentral lists this ribosomal RNA (467 nucleotides) under uncultured bacterium. RNAcentral's name for it is "partial 16S ribosomal RNA". It matches the Rfam family "Bacterial small subunit ribosomal RNA", at positions 28 to 506 of the family's 1533-position model. The record is from RNAcentral.
GACGAACGCUGGCGGCGUGCUUAACACAUGCAAGUCGAACGGAAAGGCCCUGCUUUUGUGGGGUGCUCGAGUGGCGAACGGGUGAGUAACACGUGAGUAACCUGCCCUUGACUUUGGGAUAACUUCAGGAAACUGGGGCUAAUACCGGAUAGGAGCUCCUGCUGCAUGGUGGGGGUUGGAAAGUUUCGGCGGUUGGGGAUGGACUCGCGGCUUAUCAGCUUGUUGGUGGGGUAGUGGCUUACCAAGGCUUUGACGGGUAGCCGGCCUGAGAGGGUGACCGGCCACAUUGGGACUGAGAUACGGCCCAGACCCCUACGGGGGGGAGGAGGGGGGAAUAUUGCAAAAUGGGCGGAAGCCUGAUGCAGCAACGCCGCGUGCGGGAUGACGGCCUUCGGGUUGUAAACCGCUUUCGCCUGUGACGAAGCGUGGGUGACGGUAAUGGGUAAAGAAGCACCGGCUAACUACGU